RNAcentral lists this ribosomal RNA (230 nucleotides) under uncultured bacterium. RNAcentral describes it as "partial 16S ribosomal RNA". It matches the Rfam family "Bacterial small subunit ribosomal RNA", at positions 28 to 258 of the family's 1533-position model. The record is from RNAcentral.
GACGAACGCUGGCGGCGUGCUUAACACAUGCAAGUCGAGCGGUAAGGCCCUUUCGGGGGUACACGAGCGGCGAACGGGUGAGUAACACGUGGGUGACCUGCCCUCAGCUCUGGGAUAAGCCUGGGAAAACCGGGUCUAAUACCGGAUAUGACUCCAUGACGCAUGUUGUGGGGUGGAAAGCCUUGUGCGGCUGAGGAUGGGCCCGCGGCCUAUCAGCUUGUUGGUGGGGU